GGCUCCUCCACUCGUAUACUGUAUGUAGAUAGCUCAAAGUCGUUAUAAAUAUGUAAACUUGUAAAAGAUGAAAAAAUGUAGCCCCAGUAGGGAAGCCUAACAAAAACCUGUGCUGGGGGUGUGUGCUGUACCAAUUAUCAGCAUCUUAGCAAAAGCCGUAGACCUGGCCAUGAUCAACGUGUUGAGGGGCGUCUUAUCUUGCCCUAUAAACUCCGCUAUCUCCUUAGUAAUUUCGCAGUGCCGUUUUAAAUCGGGGUCAUUUAUAGCCUACUCUGAAUCAUUUCAGUCAGUGAUCCCUGUCGUGUGGUAUUUGGUCUAGGGCUGCAACUAACGAUUAUUUUAAUAAUCGAUUAUUCUGUUGAUUAUUUUUUCGAUUAAUCUAUGAAUCGGAUAAAAAAAAUAAACAUUUGGAAUUGCCGCAUCUUUAUUCAAAAACUGAACAUUACUUCAAAUUCACAGUGCAGACUGAAGUGUAAAAACACCAGGUUAUUGCUCCAACGUCCCGGAACUAUUAAAAGUAAUAUUAAAUAAUAAAAAAAUUAAAAAAACAUAACUGGGAUGACACCAAAAAAAACAUACAAUGUAUGAUAUUCUUUUAUAUGUAUAUAAGGGAUGUCCAUGGUUAACCGGUCAAACCUAUUGAUACCAUUUUCGAGACUCCUUGAAAUAGAACUUGUAAUAUUGCUUUAAUUGCUGAUAAGAUGAUGAUAGUUCAAGAUAGGACAUUAAACGGGUCAUAAUUCUAUCUUUACUAUCUAUUUUAUAUUACUGGGAAAACAAGUUUUCACCAAAAUCUCAAUUUAUUUUUUUUCUGUCUUGUACGCCUCAAUCAUAUUACAAGCCGACCUGAACACAUCACAUUUGACACUGUUUGUGACCAUUGGUUAGUUGUUUUUUUUUAAGCUAACGAGCUCUAUAUCCUGCCGAUUUUAACAUGGAUUUAAAAACUGCAUUACUAUUUUUAACUGACGGGACUUUCUACACCGUCCGGUUGUGCGAUUACUACCGCGGCUUUGAAUGACUGUUGAUGCACGCGGUGCCGACUCCGAGCCCGUCUGCACACCGUCUGCAGCAGCAGCAGCUGACAGAGUUUUCGUGAAGGUACAACACUUUUAUGUAGGCCUACAGUCCAGU
Molecule: long non-coding RNA, 1134 nt
Organism: Gadus macrocephalus (Pacific cod)
Lineage: Eukaryota; Metazoa; Chordata; Actinopteri; Gadiformes; Gadidae
Exons: 2
Source: RefSeq, a predicted model, not a curated record